GUCGAACGGUGAAGCAGAGCUUGCUCUGUGGAUCAGUGGCGAACGGGUGAGUAACACGUGAGCAACCUGCCCCGGACUCUGGGAUAAGCGCUGGAAACGGCGUCUAAUACCGGAUACGAGACAAGACGGCAUCGUCAUUGUCUGGAAAGAUUUUUUGGUCUGGGAUGGGCUCGCGGCCUAUCAGCUUGUUGGUGAGGUAAUGGCUCACCAAGGCGUCGACGGGUAGCCGGCCUGAGAGGGUGACCGGCCACACUGGGACUGAGACACGGCCCAGACUCCUACGGGAGGCAGCAGUGGGGAAUAUUGCACAAUGGGCGAAAGCCUGAUGCAGCAACGCCGCGUGAGGGAUGACGGCCUUCGGGUUGUAAACCUCUUUUAGCAGGGAAGAAGCGAAAGUGACGGUACCUGCAGAAAAAGCGCCGGCUAACUACGUGCCAGCAGCCGCGGUAAUACGUAGGGCGCAAGCGUUAUCCGGAAUUAUUGGGCGUAAAGAGCUCGUAGGCGGUUUGUCGCGUCUGCUGUGAAAUCCCGAGGCUCAACCUCGGGCCUGCAGUGGGUACGGGCAGACUAGAGUGCGGUAGGGGAGAUUGGAAUUCCUGGUGUAGCGGUGGAAUGCGCAGAUAUCAGGAGGAACACCGAUGGCGAAGGCAGAUCUCUGGGCCGUAACUGACGCUGAGGAGCGAAAGGGUGGGGAGCAAACAGGCUUAGAUACCCUGGUAGUCCACCCCGUAAACGUUGGGAACUAGUUGUGGGGUCCAUUCCACGGAUUCCGUGACGCAGCUAACGCAUUAAGUUCCCCGCCUGGGGAGUACGGCCGCAAGGCUAAAACUCAAAGGAAUUGACGGGGACCCGCACAAGCGGCGGAGCAUGCGGAUUAAUUCGAUGCAACGCGAAGAACCUUACCAAGGCUUGACAUAUACGAGAACACUUCAGAAAUGAAGGACUCUUUUGGACACUCGUAUACAGGGUGGUGCAUGGUUUGUCCUCAGCUCCGUGUCC
Molecule: ribosomal RNA, 999 nt
Filed under: Microbacterium sp. RBC5
Lineage: Bacteria; Bacillati; Actinomycetota; Actinomycetes; Micrococcales; Microbacteriaceae
Description: bacterial SSU rRNA
Rfam family: Bacterial small subunit ribosomal RNA
Source: RNAcentral